GCACGGCUGAGGAACACGUGACUAACCUACCCCGGUGUGGGGGAUAACGGGUCGAAAGACUCGCUAAUCCCGCAUACGAUCCGCCUCGGCGGAGGAAAGCCGUAAGGCGCACUGGGCGGGGGUCGCGUCCCAUUAGAUAGUUGGUGUGGUAAUGGCGCACCAAGUCGAUGAUGGGUCUCUGGUCUGAGAGGACGACCAGACAGAUUGGGACUGAGACACGGCCCAAACUCCUACGGGGGGCAGCAGCAAGGAAUUUUCGGCAAUGGGCGCAAGCCUGACCGAGCAACGCCGCGUGGAGGAUGACGGCUCUUGGGUUGUAAACUCCUUUUGGGGGGGACGAUAAUGACGGUACCCUCCGAAUCAGGCCCGGCUAACUACGUGCCAGCAGCCGCGGUAAUACGUAGGGGCCAAGCGUUGUCCGGAAUUACUGGGCGUAAAGCGUGGGUAGGUGGUCGGUGAUGUGCCGCGUGAAAGCGCCGGAGUAAUGCCGGCGAGGUCGCGGUAGACACACGGACUCGAGGCUCGCAGAGGAACGUGGAAUUCCCGGUGUAGUGGUGAAAUGCGUAGAUAUCGGGAGGAACACCAGUGGCGCAAGCGGCGUUCUGGGCGAGACCUGACACUGAGCCACGACGGCGUGGGGAGCAAACAGGAUUAGAUACCCUGGUAGUCCACGCAGUAAACGAUGCAUACCAGGUGUGGGAUGGCGUUCGCGUCGUUCCGUGCCGCAGCUUACGCGAUGAGUAUGCCGCCUGGGGACUACGAGCGCAAGCUUAAAGCUCAAAGGAAUUGACGGGGGCCCGCACAAGCAGCGGAGCGUGUGGUUUAAUUCGACG
RNAcentral lists this ribosomal RNA (833 nucleotides) under uncultured bacterium. Its description in RNAcentral is "bacterial SSU rRNA". It matches the Rfam family "Bacterial small subunit ribosomal RNA", at positions 100 to 956 of the family's 1533-position model. The record is from RNAcentral.